Myotis daubentonii (Daubenton's bat) is the source of this 2365-nucleotide long non-coding RNA. RefSeq lists it as uncharacterized. Lineage: Eukaryota; Metazoa; Chordata; Mammalia; Chiroptera; Vespertilionidae. The record is from RefSeq and is a predicted model, not a curated record.
AUAAUAAAAGCCUAAUAUGCAAAUUGAACAGAAUGACUGGUUGCUAUGACAUGCACUGACCACCAGGGGGCAGACACUCAAUGCAGAAGCUGCCCCCAGCCUGUAGGUCCCAAGGCAGAUGCCAGCGGGGCCCCCCACCUAUCACCCUGCCGGUUGCCCUGCACAGGGAAGCGACUGGCGGCUGCAGCAGCGGGAGGCAGAGCCAGUGAGCAAGCAGUACCAGGCCAACCAAGGUGGGUGCCAGCGGGGGCCCCCCGAUCGCCCCGCCGGUUGCCCCAGAGAUUGGCCCUGAUCGCUGGCCAGUCCUAGGGACCCUACUGGUACACGAAUUUCAUGCACUGGGCCUCUAGUAAAAAUAUAUAAUUGGAGUCCAGCCAGUGUGGCUCAGUGGUUGAGCAUUGACCGAUGAACCAGGAGGUCAUGGUUUAAUUCCUGGUCAGGGCACAUGCCAGGGUUGCUGGCUUGAUCACCAGUGUGGGGCAUCUGAUCAAUAAUUCUCUUUCAUCAUUGAUGUUCUUAUCUCUCUCUCCCUCUCCCUUCCUCGCUCUGAAAUUAAUAAAAAUAUCUUAAAAAAUACAUAGUUCACCCUGGCUGGUUUGGCUCAGUGGAUAGAGCGUCAGCCUGAGGACUGAAGGUUGCAGGUUCCCUGGCCCUGGUCGGGGUGUGUGCAGGAGGCAAUCGAUCAAUGUGUCUCUCUCACAUUGAUGUUUCUCUCUGCCUCUCCCUCUCCCUUCCACUCUCUCUAAAUAUCAAUGGAAAGUGCUCGCUUCGGCAGCACAUAUACUAAAUAUCAAUGGAAAAAUAUCCUCCGGUGAGAAUGAACAGCAACAACAAAAAUACAUAGUUGGAAAAGGGUGGCGUAUUUUAACAGCCUUUUCAGAAAACUGUGGCUGGUUUUCUCUGGCACUGCACCACAACUCAACAUGCGGAGUGUCUCCAGGUGGGCUGCCGUGGAAACCGGAAGCCACCCGGACGAACCGCUUCUUCCUGCUGCUUCACUGACCCGCGCUGAUCUCACUGGCAUUUUGAACGACUCUUACCCUCUUGUGGUUAUGGAACAUCAUGCGUUUAGACAUCUGACAAAUAUCGGUCCCUGAGUUACGCAGAUCCUCCAAACAGUGACUCAUCAUAGUGUCAUCACACGCCAUGUGGCUUCUGGAAAAACACUGUAUGUUUGUGAAAGAAUGACAAUGAAGAAUGCAAAGCAGCCCUGACCGGUGUGGCUCAGUGGAUAGAGCGUCGGCCUGCAAACUGAAAGGUCCCAGAUAUGGAAGAAGAAACCAAACAUGCCCAGAGAUGAUCAGAGGAUCUGGAGAAGGAACCACCGUCACUGAUGUCCUGAAACCCUCCCCUGCCCUGACCUGUAAUGGUUCCACAGGAGGGAGACCGUGUGAUCUUGUCUCUCUCUGCCUGGCUCCCUCCACUCAGCACCCUGCUCUCCAGGCCCCUCCGUGCCGUCGCAAGGGUAAGAGCCUUUUUUCACUGCUGCCGGUGUCCAUGAGUAAACGCCCCACAGCUCUCUCUCCGCUCCUCUACUGGUGGUCGCUUGGGCUGCUUCCAGAUCCUGGCUAUGGUAAAUAACGCUGCUGUGAACACAGGGGGGCACAUAUGCUUUCUGACGGGUGUUCUGGGGUUCUUAGGAUAUAGCCCCAGAAGUGGGAUUGCUGGGUUAAAAGGCAGUUCUAUUUUUAAUUUUUUUGAGGAAACCCCAUACUGUCUUGCACAGUGGCUACCCCAACCUGCAUUCCCACCAACAGUGCAGGAGGGUUUCCAAGAAACACGUUUUGGAUAUAGAGACAGAACGGUUCAAGUAAAAAGCCAGAAGGUGUGGUUACUUUCACGUGUCAACUUGGUUGGCCACAGGGUGCCCGGAUGAAACGUUACUUCUGGGUGUGUCUGGGAGGGGUUCCUGUGAGGUCAGCCCCAGGGGGGACGUGCAGUCACUCCGGGCUCCCCUGGCUGAGGCUCUGGGACUUCCAUGGAGCCACAGCACCAGCCUCCCUAGGUCUCCAGCUUAGAGACGGCAGACCCCGGACAUCUCAGCCUCCACAGUCAUCAUGUCAGCCUCUUCCUCACAAUCUCAUAACCAAUAUCAUCUAUCUAUCUAUCUAUCUAUCUGUCUAUCCAUCCAUCUAUCUAUAUAUAGACUGAUUUUUAGAGAGAGAGGAAGGGAGUGGGAGAGAGAGAAACAUCGAUGUGAGAGCAGAACAGGGAUGGGCUGCCUCCUGCACGCCCCCCACUGGGGAUCAAGCCUGAAACCCGGGCCUGUGCCCUGACCCGAAAUCAAACCAGCAACCUUUCGGUGCACGGGAUGACACCCAACCAAUUGGUUUUGUCUCCCUGGAGAGCCCUGAUUAAUAAUGAU